RNAcentral lists this ribosomal RNA (448 nucleotides) under uncultured bacterium. Its description in RNAcentral is "SSU rRNA". It matches the Rfam family "Bacterial small subunit ribosomal RNA", at positions 26 to 518 of the family's 1533-position model. The record is from RNAcentral.
AGGAUGAACGCUGGCGGCGUGCCUAAUACAUGCAAGUCGAACGAGGUCUUCGGACCGAGUGGCGAACGGGUGAGUAACACGUUGGUACCUACCCCGAAGUGGGGAAUAACUGCCCGAAAGGGUGGCUAAUACCGCAUAAUACCGCAAGGUUAAAGCAGUAAUGCGCUUCGGGAGGGGCCUGCGUCCCAUUAGCUAGUUGGUAGGGUAAUGGCCUACCAAGGCGACGAUGGGUAGCUGGAUCGAGAGGUUGACCAGCCACACUGGGACUGAGAUACGGCCCAGACUCCUACGGGAGGCAGCAGUAAGGAAUCUUCCACAAUGGACGAAAGUCUGAUGGAGCAACGCCGCGUGCAGGAUGACGGCCUUCGGGUUGUAAACUGCUUUUAUAUGGGAAGAUUAUGACGGUACCAUAUGAAUAAGGACCGGCUAACUACGCGCCAGCAGCCGC